Molecule: ribosomal RNA, 322 nt
Filed under: uncultured eukaryote
Lineage: Eukaryota
Description: partial 18S ribosomal RNA
Rfam family: Eukaryotic small subunit ribosomal RNA
Source: RNAcentral
CCCUUAGAUGUUCUGGGCCGCACGCGUGCUACACUGAGUGGAUCAGCGGGUCAGGUUGCGCGAAAGCGUUUCCUAAUCUUUAAAUCCGCUCGUGAUGGGGAUUGACGGUUGCAAUUUUCUGUCAUGAACGAGGAAUACCUUGUAAGCGCGGGUCAUCAUCCCGCGCUGAAUACGUCCCUGCCCUUCGUACACACCGCCCGUCGCUCCUACCGAUUGAGUGGUCCGGUGAGGCUUUGGGAUCUGAGCGGAAAGAGCGUUUCGCUGUUUCUGCUCGGAAAACUCAGUCGAACCUUAUCAUUUAGAGGAAGGAGAAGUCGUAACA